GCGUCCGUAGCUCAGUUGGUUAGAGCACCACCUUGACAUGGUGGGGGUCGGUGGUUCGAGUCCACUCGGACGGA
This 74-nucleotide transfer RNA is filed under the name Yersinia ruckeri. RNAcentral describes it as "tRNA-Val". It matches the Rfam family "tRNA". From Rfam's summary of the family: Transfer RNA (tRNA) molecules are approximately 80 nucleotides in length. Their secondary structure includes four short double-helical elements and three loops (D, anti-codon, and T loops). Lineage: Bacteria; Pseudomonadati; Pseudomonadota; Gammaproteobacteria; Enterobacterales; Yersiniaceae. The record is from RNAcentral.